This is a long non-coding RNA of Hipposideros armiger (great roundleaf bat), 613 nucleotides long. RefSeq lists it as uncharacterized. Lineage: Eukaryota; Metazoa; Chordata; Mammalia; Chiroptera; Hipposideridae. The record is from RefSeq and is a predicted model, not a curated record. The transcript is spliced from 3 exons.
UCAGUGUGGGAGUGGGGAAGAGAGAGAGCUCGCAACCGUCUCCUUUUGUAAGAGGGGGUUGAGGAAGAGGAAAGGCUGCCAAGAGAUGUGCUUGAGUAGGCGACUGCCCUGCCCACAGCCAGCCUUGGAUGUCACUCUCUCAAAAGAAACACAAGAUACUACAGAUGGCGAAAAUGAAGUGAUUUGGGACGAGAGCACAAGGAAAGGAAGAGGUGACUGAUCUUUCUAUAAUAUGACAAAUCUGAAGAGACACCUGAGGAGGUAGCUACAGCUGGACAGAGUGAAGAGGUGUGUGUUCCCAUGGAUGACUCAAGCCUGCCCACCACCGUCAAUGUAGACGAGUGUUUUGCCAUCGCCUUUGUUGCUCUUCUGUUUCUUUUCCUCAUAGUGAUGAUUUUCCGCUGUGCCAAGCUGGUGAAAAAUCCCUAUGAGGCCAGUUUCAUAACCACAGAACCAUCUCUGACCUGAACUAUGAAAAAAAACCUGGUAGACUCUUCCCUUCACAGGAGCUUCAAAAUCUUUUAUACUCGGACAUUUAUGAUCCGAACUUUGUAUUAUUUCACCUCCCUAUUUCUCAGCCUUCUCACUCUUGCAUUCCACUACAGGCACGUGA